RNAcentral lists this ribosomal RNA (253 nucleotides) under uncultured bacterium. RNAcentral describes it as "partial 16S ribosomal RNA". It matches the Rfam family "Bacterial small subunit ribosomal RNA", at positions 524 to 776 of the family's 1533-position model. The record is from RNAcentral.
UACGUAGGGUGCAAGCGUUAAUCGGAAUUACUGGGCGUAAAGCGUGCGCAGGCGGUUUUGUAAGUCAGAUGUGAAAUCCCCGGGCUUAACCUGGGAACUGCGUUUGAAACUACAAGGCCAGAGUGUGGCAGAGGGGGGUGGAAUUCCACGUGUAGCAGUGAAAUGCGUAGAGAUGUGGAGGAACACCGAUGGCGAAGGCAGCCCCCUGGGUUAACACUGACGCUCAGGCACGAAAGCGUGGGGAGCAAACAGG